Molecule: ribosomal RNA, 974 nt
Filed under: uncultured bacterium
Lineage: Bacteria
Description: bacterial SSU rRNA
Rfam family: Bacterial small subunit ribosomal RNA
Source: RNAcentral
AACCUGGCGGCGAGUGGCGAACGGGUGAGUAACAUAUCGGAACGUGCCCUGGAGUGGGGGAUAACGUAGCGAAAGUUACGCUAAUACCGCAUACGAUCUAAGGAUGAAAGUGGGGGAUCGCAAGACCUCAUGCUCCUGGAGCGGCCGAUAUCUGAUUAGCUAGUUGGUGGGGUAAAAGCCUACCAAGGCGACGAUCAGUAGCUGGUCUGAGAGGACGACCAGCCACACUGGAACUGAGACACGGUCCAGACUCCUACGGGAGGCAGCAGUGGGGAAUUUUGGACAAUGGGCGAAAGCCUGAUCCAGCAAUGCCGCGUGUGUGAAGAAGGCCUUCGGGUUGUAAAGCACUUUUGUCAGGAACGAAACGGUCUGGGCUAAUAUCCUGGGCUAAUGACGGUACCUGAAGAAUAAGCACCGGCUAACUACGUGCCAGCAGCCGCGGUAAUACGUAGGGUGCAAGCGUUAAUCGGAAUUACUGGGCGUAAAGCGUGCGCAGGCGGUUAUGUAAGACAGAUGUGAAAUGCCCGGGCUUAACCUGGGGACUGCAUUUGUGACUGCAUGGCUAGAAUCUGGCAGAGGGGGGUAGAAUUCCACGUGUAGCAGUGAAAUACGUAGAGAUGUGGAGGAACACCGAUGGCGAAGGCAGCCCCCUGGGCUAAGAUUGACGCUCAUGCACGAAAGCGUGGGGAGCAAACAGGAUUAGAUACCCUGGUAGUCCACGCCCUAAACGAUGUCUACUAGUUGUCGGGUCUUAAUUGACUUGGUAACGCAGCUAACGCGUGAAGUAGACCGCCUGGGGAGUACGGUCGCAAGAUUAAAACUCAAAGGAAUUGACGGGGACCCGCACAAGCGGUGGAUGGAUGUGGAUUAAUUCGAUGCAACGCGAAAACCUUACCUACCCUUGACAUGGCUGGAAUCCCCGAGAGAUUGGGGAGUGCUCGAAAGAGAACCAGUACACAGUGCUGCAUGGCUGU